GCCGAAGUAGUUCAGUUGGGAGAGCAUUAGACUAAAAAUCUAACGGUACCUGGUUCAAUGCCAGGUUUCGGCA
Molecule: non-coding RNA, 73 nt
Organism: Rhincodon typus (whale shark)
Lineage: Eukaryota; Metazoa; Chordata; Chondrichthyes; Orectolobiformes; Rhincodontidae
Source: the annotation of a RefSeq genome assembly